GAUGCAGCGACGCAGCGUGCGGGAUGACGGCCUUCGGGUUGUAAACCGCUUUCAGCAGGGAAGAAGCGAAAGUGACGGUACCUGCAGAAGAAGUACCGGCUAACUACGUGCCAGCAGCCGCGGUAAUACGUAGGGUACGAGCGUUGUCCGGAAUUAUUGGGCGUAAAGAGCUCGUAGGUGGUUGGUCACGUCUGCUGUGGAAACGCAACGCUUAACGUUGCGCGUGCAGUGGGUACGGGCUGACUAGAGUGCAGUAGGGGAGUCUGGAAUUCCUGGUGUAGCGGUGAAAUGCGCAGAUAUCAGGAGGAACACCGGUGGCGAAGGCGGGACUCUGGGCUGUAACUGACACUGAGGAGCGAAAGCAUGGGGAGCGAACAGGAUUAGAUACCCUGGUAGUCCAUGCCGUAAACGUUGGGCACUAGGUGUGGGGGACAUUCCACGUUCUCCGCGCCGUAACUAACGCAUUAAGUGCCCCGCCUGGGGAGUACGGUCGCAAGGCUAAAACUCAAAGGAAUUGACGGGGGCCCGCACAAGCGGCGGAGCAUGCGGAUUAAUUCGAUGCAACGCGAAGAACCUUACCAAGGCUUGACAUACACUGGACCGUUCUGGAAACAGUUCUUCUCUUUGGAGCUGGUGUACAGGUGGUGCAUGGUUGUCGUCAGCUCGUGUCGUGAGAUGUUGGGUUAAGUCCCGCAACGAGCGCAACCCUCGUUCUAUGUUGCCAGCACGUGAUGGUGGGAACU
This 743-nucleotide ribosomal RNA is filed under the name Brevibacterium sp. NY93S. Its description in RNAcentral is "bacterial SSU rRNA". It matches the Rfam family "Bacterial small subunit ribosomal RNA", at positions 385 to 1139 of the family's 1533-position model. Lineage: Bacteria; Bacillati; Actinomycetota; Actinomycetes; Micrococcales; Brevibacteriaceae. The record is from RNAcentral.